CCAAUAGCGUAUAUUAAAGUUGUUGCAGUUAAAAAGCUCGUAGUUGAAUUUCGGGAUCAGUACGCUGGUCGUACCUUCGGUACGUACUGGUGUCACUGAUUCCUCCCUUCUGAAGAACCGUCAUGCCAUUCAGUUGGUGUGGCAGGGAAUCAGGACUGUUACUUUGAAAAAAUUAGAGUGUUUAAAGCAGGCUCGCGCUUGAAUACAUUAGCAUGGAAUA
This 220-nucleotide ribosomal RNA is filed under the name uncultured Glomus. RNAcentral's name for it is "partial small subunit ribosomal RNA". It matches the Rfam family "Eukaryotic small subunit ribosomal RNA", at positions 591 to 816 of the family's 1831-position model. The record is from RNAcentral. Lineage: Eukaryota; Fungi; Glomeromycota; Glomeromycetes; Glomerales; Glomeraceae.